AAUGAUGAAUGUCAUAGAUUAGACAUCUAAUAGUUUAUUCUAUAAAUGAAAGUGUAAGCAUUCCACCUCAAGAGUAAUUUGGCAACAUUGGAACUGAAAUCAUUAGACCGUUUCUGAAACCAGUAGUGAAGUAUGUUGUUUAAUUUGAUAAUCCGCAAAAAACCUUACCACAAUUUGAAUAUUUAUAUAUUUUCUUUAUCUAUCUUUUUAUAAAGAAAAAAAUACAUUUACAAGCGUUGCACGGCUGUCUUCAGUUAAUGUCGUGAGACUUUGGUUAGUUCCAUUAAAUUAACGUAAACCCUCACUUUAUUUAUAUAUAAAGUAGUUCCCCACUAGAUUGGAUAAGAUAACAGGGACUAAGACAAGUCAUCAUGGCCUAAAUAUUGU
Molecule: ribosomal RNA, 387 nt
Filed under: Lecanora farinaria
Lineage: Eukaryota; Fungi; Ascomycota; Lecanoromycetes; Lecanorales; Lecanoraceae
Description: SSU rRNA
Rfam family: Bacterial small subunit ribosomal RNA
Source: RNAcentral